This 501-nucleotide ribosomal RNA is filed under the name uncultured bacterium. RNAcentral describes it as "bacterial SSU rRNA". It matches the Rfam family "Bacterial small subunit ribosomal RNA", at positions 49 to 586 of the family's 1533-position model. The record is from RNAcentral.
CUAUGCAUGCAAGGUCGUACGCACGCGCCUUCGGCGCGUGAGUGGCGCACGGCUGAGUAACACGUGGGAACCCGCCCUCCGGUGGGGGAUAACGCGACGAAAGUCGCGCUAAUCCCGCAUACGUCCGCAAGGGGAAAGCGCUUCGGCGCGCCGGAGGAGGGGCCUGCGGCCCAUCAGGUGGUUGGUGGGGUAACGGCCUACCAAGCCGAUGACGGGUAGCUGGUCUGGGAGGAUGACCAGCCAGACUGGGACUGAGACACGGCCCAGACUCCUACGGGAGGCAGCAGCAAGGAAUUUUCGGCAAUGGGCGCAAGCCUGACCGGGCAACGCCGCGUGCGGGAUGACGGCCUUCGGGUUGUAAACCGCUUUUCGGGGGGACGACUACGACGGUACCCCCGGAAGAAGCCCCGGCUAACUCUGUGCCAGCAGCCGCGGUAAGACAGAGGGGGCGAGCGUUGUCCGGAGUUACUGGGCGUAAAGCGCGCGCAGGCGGUGGUCUCA